GCUGGCGGCACUGGCACGGUGGUCCACCUGACCCAUGCCGAAACUCAGAAGUGAAACGCCGUAGCGCCGAUGGUAGUGUGGGGUCUCCAAAAGUACGAGUAGGGGAACUGCCGGGC
RNAcentral lists this ribosomal RNA (116 nucleotides) under Salmonella enterica subsp. enterica. Lineage: Bacteria; Pseudomonadati; Pseudomonadota; Gammaproteobacteria; Enterobacterales; Enterobacteriaceae. The record is from RNAcentral.